Molecule: ribosomal RNA, 31 nt
Filed under: uncultured Verpa
Lineage: Eukaryota; Fungi; Ascomycota; Pezizomycetes; Pezizales; Morchellaceae
Description: partial 28S ribosomal RNA
Source: RNAcentral
UGACCUCGGAUCAUGUAGGGAUACCCGCUGA